GACGAACGCUGGCGGCGUGCUUAACACAUGCAAGUCGAACGGAAAGGCCCUGCUUGCAGGGUGCUCGAGUGGCGAACGGGUGAGUAACACGUGGGUGAUCUGCCCCUUACUUUGGGAUAAGCCUGGGAAACUGGGUCUAAUACUGGAUAGGACCAUGCUGCAGGUGGUGUGGUGGAAAGAUUAGUUUCGGUAAGGGAUGAGCUCGCGGCCUAUCAGCUUGUUGGUGGGGUAAUGGCCUACCAAGGCGUCGACGGGUAGCCGGCCUGAGAGGGUGGACGGCCACAUUGGGACUGAGAUACGGCCCAGACUCCUACGGGAGGCAGCAGUGGGGAAUAUUGCACAAUGGGCGCAAGCCUGAUGCAGCGACGCCGCGUGGGGGAUGACGGCCUUCGGGUUGUAAACUCCUUUCAGCCAUGACGAAGCCCUUGUGGUGACGGUAGUGGUAGAAGAAGCACCGGCUAACUACGUG
Molecule: ribosomal RNA, 469 nt
Filed under: uncultured bacterium
Lineage: Bacteria
Description: partial 16S ribosomal RNA
Rfam family: Bacterial small subunit ribosomal RNA
Source: RNAcentral